AAGACUAUAGACCUGCGGAGUACCUGCGGAAGGAUCAUUAACGUAUCUAUGAUGGGGUGCGGAGCGCCCUGCUCCGGUCGAACGGCCGUGCAGCGGGUGCGCCGCCCCCGUCCCACCUCACAAACCCACUGUGAACAUUCACCGGUGGAGGGGGCUCGGUCUGCGCCGUGUCCCCGAUGCCGAAUACCCAAACUCCAGUUGCAAAGGACGUCGUGCGGACUCGGUGCCGCCUAAAACAUG
This 240-nucleotide unclassified non-coding RNA is filed under the name soil metagenome. Its description in RNAcentral is "partial contains 5.8S ribosomal RNA, internal transcribed spacer 2, and large subunit ribosomal RNA". The record is from RNAcentral.